RNA transcript from Osmerus eperlanus (European smelt), 1509 nucleotides. RefSeq lists it as uncharacterized. Lineage: Eukaryota; Metazoa; Chordata; Actinopteri; Osmeriformes; Osmeridae. The transcript has 2 exons. The record is from RefSeq and is a predicted model, not a curated record.
AGGGAUCUGUGCCCGGAUGCAUGCCAGUGGCCCCUAGCUGUUCCCCUUCUCUCGUCACUGGCCCUAGAUUAAAGGAGCACUCACUGCAGGUUUAUUUAGGGGCAGCUAAGGGAUAUAUGAGGAAUGGAUUAGCGGCUUCCACCCUUCGGUCCUACGAUUUCGCUUGGAGAUCAUACGCUAUGUUUUGCUCUUCUCUCUCUGUUCCCCUGUUUCCUUUGUGUGUUAAUGUUGUAUGUGCUUUUGUUUGUCACUGCACGGAUGUUCGCCAUUUCCAGACGUGCUAUAUUAAAGGUCUGGUCGCGGGCAUCCAAUUCAAUGCCAGAUGCCUGGAUCCUUCGUUUCCCAGCCUUUUGUCCAAUCCUGCUAUCAAAUUGCUGUUCAAAGGAAUAGGCAAAGCGUUUCCCCCUAAAGUGGACGACAGACUCCCGUUCACUCUAUCCGUUCUGCAUGCCAUGCUUUCGGUGCUCAGACGUGGUUAUUUCUCCCGCUACAUUGACUCCCUUUUAGAUUGUUCAUUAUUACUGGCUUUCUACGGGUUUCUUCGGUGCGGGGAAUUCACCACUAGGGCAAAUGCGUUUAAUCCCACCUCAGACGUUUGCUUUUCCGAUUUGACGUUUCACCCUGAAUUUUUCAACCUUUUUCUUAGACACUCUAAAUCCGGAGGCUCUUGCUUCGUAGUCAUUGCUCGCACGGGGGGUCCUUUCUGUCCUUUCUCUUCCAUGCUUAGGUAUGUCAAGAUGAGGGCUUCCUCAGAUCCGCUCUCCCCUCUCUUCAUAACCCCUGCCAAUAAACCCAUGUCUCAGUCCUGGUUCAGUCACCACUUAGCGCAGGUAGUAUCCAAGUGUAACCUUCCCCCUGGACGGUAUUCAGGCCAUUCGUUCAGGAUAGGUGCUGCCACGUCCGCUGCAGUCCAAGGGUUGUCCACUGCGACUUUGCAACAGCUGGGGCGUUGGUCUUCCUCCGCAUAUUCUUCCUCCGUCCGUCCGGAUGCUGCUUCCAUCAUCAAGGCCCAAAGAUCCCUACGGCCUUGAUGGCUCUCGGUGAGUAUUUGCAAAUAACUGGUGGUCGGUGGUGUUUCGUUCUCGCAUCAACUGUGUGUUCUACGAGGCUUCUCCCCGGGGUGUCGGCCCGCUAGCCUCUCAGGCUCCCUACGCACACAAGGAUGUCGGUCCUCCAGCCGUCACAGGCUGUUCACAUAGACUCAAGGGCGUCGGCCCUCUAGCCUACAUAGGUCAUGUAUGCGGGGACGUCGGUCCUCCAGCCGUCACAGGCUGUUCUCAUACACUCUAGGGCGUUGGCCCUCUAGCCCACAUAGGUCAUGUAUGCGGGGACGUCGGUCCUCCAGCCAUUUGCACAGGCUGUCACAUAGACUCAAGGCCGUCGGCCCUCUAGCCUACAUAGGUCAUGUACGCGGGGACGUCGGUCCUCCAGCCAUCUGCACAGGCUGUCACAUAGACUCAAGGGCGCCGGCCCUUUAGCCGCCAAAGCCGCUAAAGGCCAUCACCUGCA